UCUCUCUCUCUCUCUCUCUCUCUCUCUCUCUCUCUCUCUCUCGUGUAAACGCUUUCUUCUUUCGUUUUAACGCUGCACUUGAAUCUUCUCCUUCGUCAGAGGCGGACCUGAGGUGCGACUCGAUCCCGUAGUAGAUUGCCUCAUCAGCAAGCUCUUGCAUGGAGAAUCUGCGAGAUGUGGAGGGGAGACGAUUUGAUCUGAGAAGAGAGAGGAGGACUGAGAAGAUCUGGGGAUCCAGAUCUGAAAACCAGCGUCGGAGACCUGCUCUUUGUUUGGCCUAAAAUGAUAUAUGUAAUGGUGGAGUCCAAGAGGUGGAGAACAAUGAGAUGCACAUUCCUUUAUCUUAAUUCAUAUAUUGUAAUUUAGUAUUUUGUAAUGUAAUGAAUAAAAAACAAAUAAUAUAAUAUGUAGUGGAUUAUAUUCUGAUGCAUGCAUACUUGCAUAGAUGAAUAUUGGAAAUAUUUUUUGGUUUUA
Carya illinoinensis is the source of this 474-nucleotide long non-coding RNA. RefSeq lists it as uncharacterized. Lineage: Eukaryota; Viridiplantae; Streptophyta; Magnoliopsida; Fagales; Juglandaceae. The record is from RefSeq and is a predicted model, not a curated record. The transcript is spliced from 3 exons.